AAAUGCACAAUGAUGAACACAUCUUCAAAAUCAUACAGUUAUCCCUGGCUGAAGAAGGAUAACCUCACUGUUGAUACACAAUAUCUGAUCGCAAUU
Molecule: small nucleolar RNA, 96 nt
Filed under: Diaporthe helianthi
Lineage: Eukaryota; Fungi; Ascomycota; Sordariomycetes; Diaporthales; Diaporthaceae
Description: Small nucleolar RNA R38
Rfam family: Small nucleolar RNA R38
About the family: snoR38 is a C/D box small nucleolar RNA conserved across yeast, human, Arabidopsis and rice. It is encoded in the intron of elongation factor-1 gamma in both pombe and cerevisiae. snoR38 guides the methylation of 2'-O-ribose sites in 28S rRNA.
Source: Rfam by way of RNAcentral